Molecule: unclassified non-coding RNA, 4223 nt
Filed under: Leishmania donovani
Lineage: Eukaryota; Euglenozoa; Kinetoplastea; Trypanosomatida; Trypanosomatidae
Description: gene:LdHU3.13.1490(CDS-product:hypothetical_prote in_conserved)
Source: RNAcentral
CCGCGCAUCUCAUCAAACAGCCGCAAAACACCUCGACCCCUUCCCCCUCCCCUCGCCUCAAAGAAAAACAAGAGACAAGGGGACCACGAGAUUCGCAAGGAAACACAGAAAAGGACAGCGCACCAAAGACACGAGUAAGACGAAGUAUCAUCACGAACCUUCUGAGAAGUUGUGCCUAUCGAACUUGUGUCUCCAUUUUUCAUUGUUGGUGACCUCCUCCUCCUUACCACUCACCUCUCUGUCUUUCUGUCAGUGUGUACACUCGCGCAUCUCCAAACAGGCUCUUCCGCACCCCUCUCUCUCCCUCCUGUAGUUCGCCUCCGAACCAGUUGGGAUCUGAGUUGCCCGGCUUUCUUUUCCGCAUCCGUCUACCGCGUCUUCCUCCGCCAUCUCUCUCGCUGUGUAUCCCUCGCAAGAACGUAGGGGCGCCGGGCAGCAGCAGGAAAACGACACGCACAUACUGCACUUAUCAUAGCGAUGCAGCUGAGCAGGCCAGCAGCGCCCCACCACGUGGGUGGCGCUCGCCAUUGUCGUCUGGUCGUUCUGUCCGUUGCCGUGUUGCUUGUCGUGCUCCUCAGUCACGGCGUCGAGCACGCUCAAGGGUUUGCGUUCGUUCCGGUGGUCAACACCUUCGCGAGGCCCGAGGGAAGCGGCCACAAGAUUGAGAGCCGCCUUGUCUGUCAGGAGGGUGGCGGCUACAUUGCUGGUGAGCCGACGGCCGCGGCGCACACCGCUGUCAUCGAGGCGGCGCGCGGUGCCGGUGCUGGCACGGAGUGGUAUGCGUACCUUGGGGCCAGCACGGACGCCAGCCCGGCUGGCGAUUGCCCUCCACCCCUCACCGAGCAUAUCCUCGGCUCCGGCGCCGGCCUGUCCUUCGGCUGCUACUGGCGCUGGAACCAAGGCCGCUGGACCGAGACAGACGAUAACCCGGAGCUGCCGCUGCACAUUAGCAACGUUGGCGUUACCUUCUACAUCGGCAACUACUUCGGGGAGCCGACGUCGCCGUCAGUGAAUGUGUACGGCGUGCAGAGCGGCUUCCCGUCAUGGUUCAAUGCCACCGCCCCCAAGAAGUCUCAGUUGCGACCGAGCUCUAUGUUUGGCCAGGACCUCCUUGCUGUCGGAAACGGCGACACAUCCACCUGGUCCGACAACAAGGCCUCGGGCGGCUACACCUACGCAGGAUUCCUCUUUAGCAGCGUCUACAAUGGCAGCAGGUGGAAGGAAGAGUCGCAGAGGGCAAGCCGGGCGUUCUUCUGGGCUGUGUGCCAGACACAAGGUCCCAGCCGUAUGAUGUACGAGCUCCACAACACUUCGAGCAGCGUGCAGAACAACUGGUGGGUCAUCUUCUUCUCCAUUCUCAUGGUGCUGUGCCUCGUCGUCUUCAUUGUGACGGCGUGCUGCCAGGACAACGAAGGCAUGGACGAGCCGCCGGAGGAUGCGCCGGAGUGGGCGCAGGAGGAGACGAAUCAGGCCACGCGCACAAAGUCCUUUGUGUCUACACGCUCCUUCGUGCAGCAGUGCAGCCAGCACACCUCAGGUGACUACGACGGGGAUAUGGGAAACUCGGUGCAGCAACUCAACAUGAAGCAAGGCACCAUGUACGGCGACAACCACAGUGCGGCAAAUCAGAUGCCACCGAAUCAGUACCCCAACUCCUUCUCGAGCCCAAACGGCGCCGACAACGAAGGCGCCCACUCCUUGUACACUGGUGACAGGAAAGCUACAGGCAAUUGGAUGUAAGCGCAGGACAACAAAGCCCCAAGGCAGCAGCGACACACCUGGGACCAGCGGCGUACGUGGAUUCCUUAGAGAAACGGAGGACAUUCAUGCGAUUGCCUAUUCCAUAACUGUGCGGCACACGUUCUUCACCACCUUCCUUAGCUUCGCACAUGACUUCUCUCGGCGGCACGCGCCUUUCGCUGUUUUCCGGUUUUCGCCUGGUGCGUGCGGCUGUCUUUUAUGGUGGCCUACAGAGGUACUUCGUUAUUAACUGUGCGAGGAGAGAAGGCACCGUCACACGUCGACGGUGGCGGCGACGGCGGCGGGGGGGGGUAAGUCGUUAUGCUGAUUUCACUCGUCAAUAUACAUAUAUAUAUAUAUAUAUAUAUAUUUAUAUGUAUGUGGGCCACGGCCACACGUACGCAGGCGCUCUUCGUCCUUGCAGAGGUGAUCCUGGCGUUUGUGUGCGUGUGUCUCUCUCUUCCGUCCACACCCCACCCUCCCACUCUGUCGUUACUUCUCUCUAUAUAGCUUUCUCUGCCUUCGUUUAUGUUUUAUUGUUUUAUUUUCCACUUCGCGCCUGAAAAGGGAGCCUCCACGGUUGGCUGGUUGGCUUGCAUUCUUCUUCCCUCUGCGCGAGAACAUGGCCUGCACACGGGCGUUCGCGCUUCUUUCUGUGGCGGUGGCGGCUCGGCUCCUCUGCUGUUCGCGGUCGCUCUGCCUCUGCCCCACGUCGUUUCUUCAUCUGCUGCUUAGCCCCCUCUCUCGCGCGCGCUUGUGCGGAGUUUGCGGAUAGGACAGCAACACAACGAUGAACUGCAAAGCAGGGCGAUGGGGGAGGGGGACGGGAGACGGGAGACGAGGGGGAGGGAGGGCACAGGCACACAAACGCAGAGACACAGCACCUCGCAUUCUUUUCACUCUUGCUUCCUCCCUUCACACACUUUCUCUUUCUUCAGACUGUGCAGAUGCUCCUUCCCAACCCACGCCCCUCACGCUCGCUACGGAUGGCUGCCAUGCCGACGCGUUGGCGGAGGAAAAAGGAUGACGGCAUUCGUGCCGCUUCUCUCUCCGUCGUACACAUAGUGCACACGCUUGCGUGAGAGGACGUCAGGGAAAGGAAAGGAGAUGCAGCAACGGCGACGGCUCUGGUGGGCAAGGAUCCAUGUGUCUUACCCUGUAUAUAUACUUUUGUGUCUCUGUACGAGUGUGUGUGUGUGCCCUUUUAUGCCGCGGCUACUCAUGCGACCCGCUCUCUCUUACCGCUAGAGCUGUAGUGUGUAUGCCUCUCAUCGCUCGCCCUCGUGUCGGUGUGCAGGUGUGUGGCUCUUCUUGCUUCGAGAACUGGAACUAUUGCUGUCGUGUCUCUUCCUUCUUGCUCUUGCUCUGACUCUCUAUGUAUGCAUCUCAACGAUUGCCCUCAACAUGUGCAUUUUUCUUUUGCAUGCCUCACGGGUGUCUCUCGCUACGUGUGUGCGUGCGCAUGUGUGUAUGUGUGUAUGUGUGUGCUCCGCCUAUACUCUGGCAUUCUUUUUUUUUUCACUUGGCCUUUGUGCGUGCGCGGGUGGGAGGGGGGAGCAGCCGGGUGCGCACAUGUGUAUGACUCUUCGGGUAAUUGCUAUGCCCCUCCCUCCUCCUCCCUUCCUCCCUCACCCCUCGUCCGCAUGCCCUUCCUUUUCUCGGUGCCGCCUGCGGCGACUCCACAGCCCCAUCCUUCUUUUUUUUUUGUGGAGUCGUCUUUCUCUUCUCUACCAUCUUCGCAGUCACUGUCGUUUUCGGUGCACGCACACACGCCAUGUGAGAGAAAGAGAGAUGUGGUAUUCCUUUCUUUGUUGUUGUUGAGGGUGGGUGGGUGGGAAAUGAUGAGAGGACGGGCACACGCCCACACCCCUCCUUGUGGAUCAGAUGGACGCCCUCGAUGGCGACGCUCUCGUUCUCCUCAAGUGUAGAAAUUUUCUCGGGUGCGUGUCCUUUCUCGUGUCUCUCUUUAGCCCAUUUUCGCUUUUUUAUGACAGUCUCGGUGCUACAUCCCUUCUAAAUGUUUGAGACAUCCACGCAUGACGGCUUGCCCCCUCCCCCGCUCCCUUCCCAGUUUAUCUUCGGCUUCGCCUUCGCGCGUACGUGGAGAGGUAGAGGGACAGAGCAGCAAUGCACGUCCACACACACGCACACACAGCUCUUGCCUUCGGUGUUCUACUCUCGCUUCAUCUUGUCUGUUUCGUUGACUCUCUUCACGAUACAGAGGGCCAGGCGAGCACAGCCCACGAAAGGAGCUAAAAAACACGGCGAAUUGAGGCGUCGAGGCGUGCGAUGGGCGCCCACUGGCGCAGCGGAAAAUGAGGGAUGUGUAGGAUGGGCAGACGGGCAUGGCCAUACCGUGAUAUUCUGCAGAUCUUCUUGUAUCUCUCACUCUCCUGCUCCUCGCCUUCGCCUUCUCCUUCUCCCAUGGAAAACCGGCGCUCAGCAGAAAGGAAGGGAGUUUUUGCACAAGCCUGCUGGCGAGC